AGUGCUCAUAUAAUGCUCAUUUUCAGGUUCAUAAUUGUAUUUAGAGGUUGUACCUGAAUAGGAUUAAAUAGUUUAAUUGUCAAAAAACAUCCUAUUUUUGUUGUUCUGCUAAUUGCUGCAGAAC
This is a long non-coding RNA of Etheostoma cragini (Arkansas darter), 124 nucleotides long. RefSeq lists it as uncharacterized. The transcript has 3 exons. The record is from RefSeq and is a predicted model, not a curated record. Lineage: Eukaryota; Metazoa; Chordata; Actinopteri; Perciformes; Percidae.